Molecule: long non-coding RNA, 1592 nt
Filed under: Paramuricea clavata
Lineage: Eukaryota; Metazoa; Cnidaria; Anthozoa; Malacalcyonacea; Plexauridae
Source: RNAcentral
GAUUACUUGUGACAUAUUGUCUUAAUUACUUGUGACAUAUUGUCUUGAUUACUUGUGACAUAUUGUCUUGAUUACUUGUGACAUAUUGUCUUAAUUACUUGUGACAUAUUGUCUUGAUUACUUGUGACAUAUUGUCUUGAUUACUUGUGACAUAUUGUCUUAAUUACUUGUGACAUAUUGUCUUGAUUACUUGUGACAUAUUGUCUUGAUUACUUGUGACAUAUUGUCUUAAUUACUUGUGACAUAUUGUCUUGAUUACUUGUGACAUAUUGUCUUAAUUACUUUGACAUAUUGUCUUAAUUACUUGUGACAUAUUGUCUUGUAGGAAACAUGUCCUGAGCGAGUUGAGAAAGAAUCUCCGUAUUUAUUGUUUUACGAGCGUGUUGGCAUGGACUAUAAACAUUUUCAGCCUGAUAUCCAAGAUCGUAAUCCAGAUUGCUCCAAUGACGAGGAUGAAAUUGAUAAUGAAAUAAGGAAAGCUUGUGUUCUUCAAUGAAGAAAUUUGACAUAUUGAAUAUGUAUUGUGUAUAUAUAAUUAGGCUGUUGCGGUAUUGUAAAAUUCUAUCUAAAAAAUCGAAUCUAUCUAUCUAAAAAAUAGAAUAUCGAUAAUAAAAAUCGAUAAUAGAAUAUCGACCAACACAGAAAAUAUCAUAUCGAUACUAUUAACCAUUGAAAGUCACUGCACAAAAACAAUCAGUGGUUCCCAUUUCUGACCAAAUGUUAUUCAAAAUAUCGAAAAACCAAAUAUCGAAUAACCGAUAAUUUACGAAGCCCGAUAUUUAUCGAUAUACCGCAACAGCCUUUUGUAUAUACCAGAUGUCCAAAAAACCUACACUGUUUGAUUUAAUAUGGCAGAAAAACUAAAACAGCUAUCAAGAUCAAAUAAGGUGUGUCGUAUCCAGAAAGAGCUGACUUAAAUUUUGAUAUGUUAGUAAUGUUACACGAGGAUUUUUAUGCAGUAUUAGCUGAGAAUCUGAGAUAUCAAUGUUUUAAAUCGAACAAGCAUUUUUGGCAAUGGUAAAAAUUUGCAUAAAUAGCUGCAUGGAUAAAUCGCUUUAGUUGUAAAAAAUCGCAUAUUUAUGUCAAAAAUGAAACAGUGUAUAGGUUUCUUUGGGGACACCCGGUAUAAUACUGAUGAAAUGGUCCCAUGAACGUUGUAUAGGGUAGAUAUUGUAGCAUUCUUUGACCAAACCCCUAAUUGGUCAGAAUUUGUUCUUGUGUUCACUGAAUACGUGGUUUUACCAGUGAACUCUAAUAUGUCUUCAUACCUACAUGCAUGGCGUUCCAGUCUUUUUAGAGUUCACUGGCUUUUACAGAGUAAUUUUUAAUUGCAACUUUCAUGCGACUGUUCUUGAAUUAAUAAUGUAUCUAACGAUAAUAUUGUUGUAUAUAGGGUAUAACACAUAUUCCUAGUUAUUUAAAUGUUUGUAGAGCGUACAUUUGCUGCUAAACUUACAAUGAAGAUGUGUUAAGUCUUAAAGACAGUGUUUCUAAGCAAGACAUAGGUGGAAUACUUUCUUAAAUAUAAUUAAAUUACAUACAAUCAUUAAUUUCUUUCAUAGAGUCUAAUGCCAUUUCCAAACCGGACACUU